This is a long non-coding RNA of Apis cerana (Asiatic honeybee), 1505 nucleotides long. RefSeq lists it as uncharacterized. The record is from RefSeq and is a predicted model, not a curated record. Lineage: Eukaryota; Metazoa; Arthropoda; Insecta; Hymenoptera; Apidae.
UUUCCUCUUUUUCUUCUUUUAUUUAAUAUGAUACCAUACUUAAAAAAUACCAUACGAAUGACAAUAAUCGAUAGAAACAAAAAAAAAUGAUAAAGCUGAAAUUAUAAAAAAUCUAACUAGAUGUAUAUUUAUAUAUAUAUACAUAAACAGCAUAACUACUUAAUAAUUAAAAAUUUAUUUUUCAAGUAUCGUUUAUCGAUAGUUUAUCGAUAUUUACACAGGAUAUUUUUUUCUCGUCCCGCGUUGAAACGUUUUCUUUUCGCGCGUAUUUUCGCCUAUUAAAAGAGCGAAUCGUCGAUACGAUUCACUCGAGCUUUUCCUCUUCUUCGAAACUUCUUUAUACGUUUUCUUGGUCUGAAAGUUCUUCGCUGUGCCGAUCUUGGCUCUUUCCGGUCUACGUAUAUAACGGAACGUUAGGACUCGACCGUUUCUUUGCGACGUUCUUUCUUCGUCAUUUGCCUUUUCCAGUAUUCCGACGACAGUGACUCGAGUGUUUUCUUAAUCUUUCACGCGAAAUGGAAUAUAUUAGCCGUUUCCCUCGAAAAACUCGUCGUUUGCUUUCUACCUAUCCCUGUACCUUCGGUCAACACUUUUCGUCUACUUGUACAGUAAUUACUUCGAUCCGUAUACGAUUAAGACGCGUUUUUUUCUUCCAAUUGAUAAAUCUUUAAUUGUGCCAUCGUUAUCUACAAAGAUAAAAGGGAGAAGAAAAGGAAGAAGAAGAAGAAGAGGAAGAAGAAGAAGAAGAGAAAGAAGAAGAGGAAGAUGAAGAAGAAGAGGAAGAAGAAGAAGAAGAAAGAAGUCUCGUCUCGAUGAAAUAUUAAAAAUUGAAAUUUGUUGAAGCAAAAAUGUAGGCGAGUGAGAUGGAAGGGGGAGGGGGAAGAAAAAAGAGAUUGCGCUAAAAAGAAAAAGUGAACACCGUGAAGUUUAUUAGGAAAGAAAUGAAAUUUUCCGACUGUGAGUUUAAUACCUCCCAACGCUUACACCGCAUAAUUCUGCCUAAAGAACUUAAAGUUCACAUGCAGCUACAGCCAGCCCACGUUCCUUCUCUCCCGAGGAGAUUCUUUUAGAAUUGGAUUCAAGAUUUCUACUCUGUUGUUUCUUCUCCUUUUUCCUGUCUUUCUUAAAAGAAUGAAUUCUCCUCUUCCCCAACUCGUUGGGAUCGUAUCGUUGGAUCACGCCCACUUAAUCGAAUCGGUUCUAUCGAAUACGCAAUUUAUUACCAAUGAAUUGCAUGCAUAGCGGGUGUGACGCGGUAUGCGAUUCUCAACUGGAGAACGGCAAAGCUGACCUGUCGCACAACAGCUGGAAACAUCGACCACGUCUUGUCGCGUACCUGUUGCAAACUUUGCAACCGACAUGGUGCAACUUUAUCAGAUGCUAGAGAAGACCGACAACUUUCGCAGCAGAAACAUGCUCGACUCGUGCUUCCCGCUAUCGAGUUUGAAAAAGAUCUCUAAUAUUCGAACGCGAAUAUCGUAUAACGCGAAGCUGAAAAUUUUGUA